ACUGCUCAGUAACACGUGGAUAACCUGCCCUUGGGUCCGGCAUAACCCCGGGAAACUGGGGAUAAUACCGGAUAACGCAUAUAUGCUGGAAUGCUUUAUGCGUCAAAUGGAUUCGUCUGCCCAAGGAUGGGUCUGCGGCCUAUCAGGUAGUAGUGGGUGUAAUGUACCUACUAGCCGACGACGGGUACGGGUUGUGAGAGCAAGAGCCCGGAGAUGGAUUCUGAGACAUGAAUCCAGGCCCUACGGGGCGCAGCAGGCGCGAAAACUUUACAAUGCGGGAAACCGUGAUAAGGGGACACCGAGUGCCAGCAUCAUAUGCUGGCUGUCCAGGUGUGUAAACUACACCUGUUAGCAAGGGCCGGGCAAGACCGGUGCCAGCCGCCGCGGUAACACCGGCGGCCCGAGUGGUGAUCGUGAUUAUUGGGUCUAAAGGGUCCGUAGCCGGUUUGGUCAGUCCUCCGGGAAAUCUGACGGCUCAACCGUUAGGCUUUCGGGGGAUACUGCCAGGCUUGGAACCGGGAGAGGUAAGAGGUACUACAGGGGUAGGAGUGAAAUCUUGUAAUCCCUGUGGGACCACCUGUGGCGAAGGCGUCUUACCAGAACGGGUUCGACGGUGAGGGACGAAAGCUGGGGGCACGAACCGGAUUAGAUACCCGGGUAGUCCCAGCCGUAAACGAUGCUCGCUAGGUGUCAGGCAUGGCGCGACCGUGUCUGGUGCCGCAGGGAAGCCGUGAAGCGAGCCACCUGGGAAGUACGGCCGCAAGGCUGAAACUUAAAGGAAUUGGCGGGGGAGCAC
RNAcentral lists this ribosomal RNA (796 nucleotides) under uncultured archaeon. Its description in RNAcentral is "bacterial SSU rRNA". It matches the Rfam family "Archaeal small subunit ribosomal RNA", at positions 85 to 879 of the family's 1478-position model. The record is from RNAcentral.